GCCUUCGUGGCUCAGCUGGCGGAGCGCUUUGCCGCAGUGAGGCAUGGAGUUUCUGUCGCUGGUUCAAAUCCAGCCGAAGGCC
Molecule: non-coding RNA, 82 nt
Organism: Paragonimus skrjabini miyazakii
Lineage: Eukaryota; Metazoa; Platyhelminthes; Trematoda; Plagiorchiida; Troglotrematidae
Source: the annotation of a GenBank genome assembly